CCUACGGGUGGCAGCAGUGGGGAAUAUUGCACAAUGGGGGAAACCCUGAUGCAGCGAUGCCGCGUGAAGGAAGAAGUAUUUCGGAUUGUAAAGCUCUAUCAGCAGGGACGAUAAUGACUGUACCUGACUAAUAAGCUCCGGCUAACUACGUGCCAGCAGCCGCGGUAAUACGUAGGGGGCCAGCGUUAUCCGGAUUUACUGGGUGUAAAGGGAGCGUAGACGGUAGGGCAAGUCUGAAGUGAAAGCUCGCGGCUCAACUGUGAGACUGCAUUUGAAACUGUUGAACUUGAGUGAAGUAGAGGUAAGCGGAAUUACUAGUGUAGCGGUGAAAUGCGUAGAUAUUAGGAGGAACACCAGUGGCGAAGGCGGCUUACUGGACAUUAACUGACGUUGAGGCUCGAAAGCGUGGGGAGCAAACAGGAUUAGAUACCCUAGUAGUC
RNAcentral lists this ribosomal RNA (440 nucleotides) under uncultured bacterium. Its description in RNAcentral is "partial 16S ribosomal RNA". It matches the Rfam family "Bacterial small subunit ribosomal RNA", at positions 338 to 795 of the family's 1533-position model. The record is from RNAcentral.